ACACCGGCAGCCCAAGUGGUGGCCAUUUUUAUUGGGCCUAAAGCGUUCGUAGCCGGCCUGAUAAGUCUCUGGUGAAAUCCCGCAGCUUAACUGUGGGAAUUGCUGGAGAUACUAUCAGGCUUGAGGUCGGGAGAGGUUAGAGGUACUCCCAGGGUAGGGGUGAAAUCCUAUAAUCCUGGGAGGAGCACCUGUGGCGAAGGCGUCCAGCUGGAACGGACCUGGCGGUGAGGGACGAAAGCCAGGGGCGCGAACCGGAUUAGAUACCCGGGUAGGUCUGGCCGUAAACGAUGUGGACUUGGUGUUGGGAUGGCUUCGAGCUGCCCCAGUGCCGAAGGGAAGCUGUUAAGUCCACCGCCUGGGAAGUACGGCCGCAAGGCUGAAACUCAAAUGAAUUGGCGGGG
Molecule: ribosomal RNA, 401 nt
Filed under: uncultured bacterium
Lineage: Bacteria
Description: partial 16S ribosomal RNA
Rfam family: Archaeal small subunit ribosomal RNA
Source: RNAcentral